UCGGCGAUUCCUUUAUUGUUACGAUUCCAAGUGUAAAUCAGAUUUAUAUGUCAUGCCAAUUUUUUGGGGAAAAGUAAUCGAAACCUUGCUGAGUGCGACAUUUAUCAUCAGGUAUGAAACUUCUAUUUAUUUAUGGCUGACCUCCAUAUCUCUCUACCUAUUGACUUGGAUCUGCAUAUUCAAUCAAGAAUCUUUAAAAACAUCUAAGGUUUAAAUUUUUUCAUGAAUAAACCUAAAUGUUAUGCCACUGCCGGACUAUCAAUCUUCGUCGAACAUGUUACAGAUAUGGAUCAGAGUAACAACAAUCCUUCAUUUUAAAGCUGAUUGAGUAAGAUGACCCAUUAUUUUUGAUUUCAGAUGUUGGUUCUCUUACAUUAUGAAAGGUAAUUCCUGAAUGACGUCUUGAACGUGUUAAAGUAGAAGUUAAAGAAGAAGUUGCUGCUUAAAGUGUUUAGUAUUAGGGUUUAUAAAUGUUUUUUCUCAGUAUUACAUUUUAUAAAUGUUUACUUCUACAGACGUUCGUAUCAUCGAUUAAUCUACCCUAUUCAUCAUGAAAUUUUCAUUUAUUCAUAUAUAUGUAUAUAUAUUAUUUUAGAAACAUAGAUUAACAACCCGGGAGUAUU
Helianthus annuus (common sunflower) is the source of this 623-nucleotide long non-coding RNA. RefSeq lists it as uncharacterized. The transcript has 6 exons. The record is from RefSeq and is a predicted model, not a curated record. NCBI's taxonomy places the organism in Eukaryota, Viridiplantae, Streptophyta, Magnoliopsida, Asterales, Asteraceae.